UCUAAUAUGGCAGAAUAGUGCAUUGGAUUUAAACCCCAAAAAUAAAGCUUUAACUUUUUUUAGAA
This 65-nucleotide transfer RNA is filed under the name Oberea yaoshana. RNAcentral describes it as "tRNA-Leu". It matches the Rfam family "tRNA". Rfam says of the family: Transfer RNA (tRNA) molecules are approximately 80 nucleotides in length. Their secondary structure includes four short double-helical elements and three loops (D, anti-codon, and T loops). Lineage: Eukaryota; Metazoa; Arthropoda; Insecta; Coleoptera; Cerambycidae. The record is from RNAcentral.